UACGUAGGGGGCAAGCGUUGUCCGGAUUUAUUGGGCGUAAAGAGCGUGUAGGCGGCCAUGCAGGUCCGUUGUGAAAACUCGAGGCUCAACCUCGAGACGCCGAUGGAAACCGCAUGGCUAGAGUCCGGAAGAGGAGAGUGGAAUUCCUGGUGUAGCGGUGAAAUGCGCAGAUAUCAGGAAGAACACCCGUGGCUAAGGCGGCUCUCUAGUACGGUACUGACGCUGAGACGCGAAAAGCGUGGGGAGCGAACAGG
Molecule: ribosomal RNA, 254 nt
Filed under: uncultured bacterium
Lineage: Bacteria
Description: partial 16S ribosomal RNA
Rfam family: Bacterial small subunit ribosomal RNA
Source: RNAcentral